UUGAACUCAGGUGCACUAGACCACUGAGCCACAUCCCCAGCCCUAUUUUGUAUUUUAUUGAUAGACAGGGACUCAUGAGUUGCUUAGUGCCUCAAUUUUGCUGAGGCUGGCUUUGAACUCACUAUCCUCCUGCCUCAGCCUCCCGAGCACCUGGAAUUAUAGGCAUGUGCCACUGCACCCGGUUUAUUUGCUUUUUAAACUUGUCAAUUUCCCUCCUUCCUGCUCCGUUCCAUCCUAGAUAAUGAGUCACUACUCUGUCACAGCAAUCAAAGUUUCUGCCACAUUUAUCACAUAGCAGCUACUUCAAAGAAUUAAAUGCUUGUAACAAAUAUGCAAUACAUACGCUAUACAAAUAUGCAAUAUAUAUUCCUACUCCCAGUUAGCUUAAGAGAUGGAUUUUAGCUGAGAAUUUUCUAGCCCAUGUCCUGGUAGCUGUAACUUAC
RNAcentral lists this long non-coding RNA (443 nucleotides) under Marmota monax (woodchuck). Lineage: Eukaryota; Metazoa; Chordata; Mammalia; Rodentia; Sciuridae. The record is from RNAcentral.